Long non-coding RNA from Mus musculus (house mouse), 18544 nucleotides. RefSeq annotates it as predicted gene 14502. The record is from RefSeq and is a predicted model, not a curated record. The transcript has 3 exons. Lineage: Eukaryota; Metazoa; Chordata; Mammalia; Rodentia; Muridae.
AGUUUCUAAAAUGUAGAGAGGUUAGUGCAUGAGUGCUAGGCCUUUUCUCAUCAGAAAAGAACAGGGCUUGGCCCUCCCAUGAGCCUCUGGGCCUUUACUGCUGGCUCACAGGGAUUGAGAUGUCAGCCAUACAGACCAAAGGCCAGUUUGGGUUAUAUUGUCCAGUGUACUGACUGGUUCCCCUUCCAAUCCCCUGAUAUAGAUUUCCUAUUUUAUCCUCCAUUAGGAGGAGGGCCCAGUGACCAUUCACAUAUAUCGUAUAGAUUUCAGGGUUAGCUUCAGAACAUGUAGAAGACUUGUCCAGUGUCACAUGGCUUUCAGAAGGAAAAGUCAAAUUAUGAUUUUAGAGACCCAUUGUAACAUCUGAACUGGUGCUGGGGGGAGUGCCUCACCCAGAAAGGCCAAACACCUCGAACAAUCUAGGGAAACCAGAGUAUUGUUUCCCCUGUGCUUUUUUCUCAUCCAAUGCCACCCUGUUGUCUGUCCCCAAAGCAUGGGCUUUCUCUUUGUUGUGCUGGUGUCUCUGAGCCUGCUGUUCCUGGAACACAUGUUGGGUUAUUCCUUCCGUGCUGCCUUCUUCAGCGGUUAUUAAACACUGAAGCACUUAUUCAGGUAGUCAGUAGUAUGUUUGUAUUGUCUUAGAGGUUAAGUGUCUUCUCAUGUAUUUUUCUAAAGAUUCUAUUAGCAUAUAUUAGUUAUAUAUGUUGUUCCAUUUCAUUAUUACAUUUUAUAUGCAUAUAUAAUGUAAUUUGAUCAUGUGUGCACCUAAUGGCUUCCAUGAGUCACUCUGAUGCCCUUCCUCCCUACCCCUAGAUUCCCUUUUAUUGCCUCUUGCUUGGUAUCGGUGAGACCCAGUGAGCUUAGUUAGGCUUACUUGUGUGUGUAUUGGGCCUAACUGUCCUUUUCCCUUAGCACCUGGCAACUGCCAUCAUAUCCUCUGAGAGGGGCAGAAGCUGGUGAGCCCCUCCUUCCAUGGCAGAAUGUUACAGGGCUUGAUCUUUUGCAGGAGUUUUUAAAGGAUUUUUCAUAACAUAUUAAUCACACUUGACAAAGUAUUUCACUUUUUGUAACUAAAUAAAAAAAAGAACACGGGUGUUUAAAUGGGAAAGAAAUGUCCUAAGUAAACAUAGUUUCCACAGCUACAAUGUUUGCCUUUAUAUUGUUAAUACACUGUCAUUUGAGCAAGCAGAAGAGAUGAAAUCAAGAGUAAGGAACAAAGAUUAGGUGAAGAAAAGCGCUGGAAGAAGCCACAGGCUCUGGGAGAGGCAGGAAUAUGAACUACUUGGCUGCACACAGAAGGUGGUGGUGCACUGCAUGCACAGUAAGUAAAGCAUGAACAGAAUGAAGGACACAGCACUGCAUGCACCUUGCUGCCACAUGCAGAUGGAUGUACCAUGGUGGCCUGUGGUAAUUAACGCACAAUGGUAGUGAGUGCAUGUGAAUGUACCCUGGUGGUGUGUCCGGGUGAGUGUACUAUGGUGGUAUGUGCAUUUGAAUGCCCCGUAGUGGCGUGUGCAGAUGAAUAUGGCAUGUGCAAGUGAAUGGAGCUGGGGACGGGGUAGAAAGAAAGGAGACAGUGAUGUAGGUAUUAAAGAACCUCGUGCCAGAGGUGAUAUCUCAUGUGAUGCUGGUGAGAGCACUGCAGGUGGAACUGGGCAAGGUGGUGCCUACACCCUUUCUGUUGAUAUGCCAAGAUGUGCCAUUAGUCACUAAUCCUCAGCUACCUUUCAUUCACCUUCCUGAGUCAUGCAUGAGGGAGUAUAUGUACAACUAAAAGAAGUCAGAAACUGAAUGUAAAGCCUUUUAUUGUAUGUUUACAUUUGUAUUUCUCUGUAUGUCUCUGUGUAUGUGGAACAUGUAUGUGGAUAUGCCUGUGGAGGAAACACUGUGUCAGAUACUCUGGAUCUGGAGUGUCAGAUAAUAGUAACCACCUACAUUUGCACUAUCAGGAUUCCUCCCUUCAUACAGUCAGUCCUUAGCUGGGUCCUCACUGGUCACUAACCUCAGCUCCCAGAACUCUCUCGACACUACACUGGACCCUGCAGCUGUGGGAACCCCCAUUCCAUAGUCAGGUGCCUCCUGGGGGUCCUCUGGCUUGGGGCUGUGGGGCAGAAAGUUCUCAGGUAUAGAUAUGUCCUGAACUUGAUCAAAGUCGAAGGGGUCUACUAUGAAAGCCCUAUCAUUUGUAGCAGAAGAGUGCAUGGGCCCUUCAGAGAGCAUAGGCCAGCUGGAGAUCCCUAUGUGGAAAGUGAGUGUCAGGAUGAAAGAAUGUGCAAGCUCUGCGAGAGAAUAUUGACAGAAGCAUCACCUAGGCUUUAGAAACUAAGGAAGACUGGACUACACUUCAGUGGGUUGGGCUACAGGUUAGCUAGCAAGCAAGUGGAACUGCUCUUUGGGUCAAUAAUCUAGCGCAGUUGAGGCAAUCCUCAUUAUCAAUACUCUAAGUACUAAAAUGCUCUAAUUGAAGAAACACAGGUCCUGUACUGUAAGUAUGACCAAGAACCUGUAGUUGCACAGGACCAUUGGGAAACCCAAUAUGAUUUUGCUAAAUGAAUGUAUUACAAACUGUCUUCUAAACUCAAAAGUCUCUACUCAUAGGGAAAGGAGCUCUCAGACAGCUUCAGAGAAGUUGUUUUGUACAGUGAUUGGUGGCUAAUGCAGAAACUCCCAUCUGGUUAGACUGCACAAAGUAAGUGUCUAUGGAUUGCCCACAAAACAUCAAACAUGUCACACACUCUCCCCCCAAGCUCAAGUUCCAUAACAAAAGAAGGGGAUCGAGAGAUUUGAAGAGGCAGAAGACAUUUGCACCAGAGCAAUGUAGUGUUUGAGGGACAUGACAUGGUUAUUAGACUCAUGAACACACAGUAGGUGUCUUUGCCCCUAUGAGACCUGCACAAGAUCAAGCCUGCCAGCACUCUGGCAUGGACUGAGUGGGAAUUCCUGUGCUCUUAACAGUAGGUGGUUUUUGUGGGAGAAAGAGUCCAUUUUAAGAGUAUAGCCUCUGGUAGGUCAAUCAUACUCUAGUGGAUGGUUCUACAUCCCACAGUAUGUAGAUAGCACAAAUUUUCCUUGAGUUUUGUUUAUUUUUAAAUAACAUAAAAAAGGUAUGGUGGUUUUGAGAAAAACUGUGAGGAAAGAUGUUCUAUAUUCAUUAAAUAAAAGGGUGGGGUAUGUGCGAAUAUGUUUAAAAUCAAUUAUAUAAAAUCCUCAAAGAAUUAAAUAAAUACCAUAUUGACAAACAGUAACUUAUGAUAAGGAAUAGGAAUUAGAUUGCAGCCAACCUGCCAAGUUGGAAUCAUUCUCUCCAGAGGCAAGGCUUCCUUCUACAUUAUGAAUACUUAUUGUCACUGAUGUCAGCUAUAAAAGAGAAUCAGAGAAAAGGCAUUUUGGCAAAUAGUAAUCUACAUGGAGUGUUUCUGCUACUUGAUAAAGGGUGUUCCAAUUUGCUGGAUAAUAUUUAGGACAGGGCCUGGCAAAUAAAUAAAAUCAUCACACACCCAAAGAUUCAAUGACUAUAACUAUAUGGACUAACUAUAUAUAACUCUAUGAAAGAUACAGUUAGAAUUGGCAUUUGAAACAGCAUGUGAAGCUACACAUUAAAAUUUACACUUUAAGUAUCAAAUAUAUAUUUAUAAACUUAUCCACCACCAAGAAGAAAACUAUGUUCGCAACAAUGUGAACAUGAAAGAAGAAGAAGAAGGAAAAAGAGGUGGCUGGCAAGAUGGCUCAGCGAUUAAUAGCACUGACUGCUCUUCUGAAGGUCCUGAGUUCAAAUCCCAGCAACCACAUGGUGGCUCACAACCAUCUGUAAUGAGAUCUGUUGCCCUCUUCUGCUGUGUCUGAAGACAGCUACAGUGUACUUACAUAUAAUAAUAAAUAAGUCUUUAAAAAAACAUUAUGGACAAAAACUGAGGGACAAACAGGGUGCACUCCUUCAGAAAGAGGUGAUACUUGCCUUCAUUCGUUUUCUUGGUGUCACACCAAAAGAUUCUUCAAAGCAUUCAUCUACAGAUAGUGACAAAUCAGAUGGUUUUGUUUGUUAGUAAAUAUUCCAAAGGCUCAGACUCUUGCUGAUUUAGGGAAGGCUAGAGUGGAGAGUGGGCCCAUUCAUGAAGGAGGAGCUAGUGGAGCCUGGCUCUCUUUCAUCUGACCAAUGACAGGUGCCCUUUUAGAAGUCUCCUUCUGAUUGGAUAGGAAGUGUCAGCUAAGCCACAUCACUGCAUCAUCCCCUCACAAGCUGGUAGAACACAGGGCAUUCUGACUCUCUUUGAAGGUGUUACACAUUGGCCAUUUACUUAUUAUCCAGUAUAAUGUACACAAUAAUGUUUUAGAAUUGUGCAUGACAGGAUCUUCUACAUAAUCCUCAGAGUGAGCUCUGUUCCACACAACCCUGAUCUGAACAAGAAAAGAGCUUCCUAUCACCUUAGCAUGCAUCUUGACUGAGAAGGUGCACUUUCACAGCCUCUACCUGAUCACUCACCUUCACUGUCAUGAACUUCAAUGCCUUUCACCAAGGAUUGCUUGGCCUGCUCCUUGCCACUCAUGAAGACUGGUUGGUUCACGGUGACCCCUAAGAGGAAGCAGAGUGCUUGUUCUUUAACAGGCAGUGCAAUGAGGGGAUAUGCUGCUAAGAGCUGUGCUGCAGCCCAGAUCUUAAGGCCCAUAAGAGGCCGGCACUCUAUUGCCUAUGAUCUAUGCUGUCAGCUCUGAAAAGGGUGGAAAAGAGCUGCUGCAGGCUCGACAAGCACCUUGACAUUACUCAGUAAAGAAAGGUAUUGUGGGAGAGGGCCCUGCUACAGGUUGAGAAGAUUGGCAUAGCAAACAACCUGGAACCCCCCAGACUGGUCUGAACCCAGAUUUCAUCUUAUCUUGGCCGGUCAUUCUGGUGUAGUUUCUUUUCAUGUACAUGUAGGCACUUUUCUGCCAUUCAGUCAGCUUUCCCCACUCUUCACCAGAGAAGUAUGUAGAAAUAUCCUGGAAGGCCUGGAAAAGAAGGGAAUGAAAACUCUGGCAACUGCUCUGCUGGAUGUCUGUGCCAUUCAUCCCAGAAUGCCCUUUGUGGUGGAGGACUUAGUGGUCCACCAGAAAAUCAAGACAAUCGAUCCUGGGACAUAUGAGGGUUGAGUGAGAGACAGCCUUUUCCCCAGCCACUAUAAAUGCUCAAUGCUGCUCAUGUGUUCUCCUCCCUCACUUACAAGGGACUGAGUGUCACCAAAUGAAUGUAGGACUAGGUCACUAAUCUGAAGUCCUCAUGGAGGCUGUAGAAGGACUCAUGGAGCAUUUGUGCAUGGAGAGAAAACCUGAGACUUAUGGAGGUCCAGUGGAGACUGUAGUCCUUGUCCCAAGUGCCUCUGAUUUCCACCUUCUGGUUUAGUUUACUGGGACAUCCCCGAGGAAGAACCUACCUCAGACAGGAAGGGACAAAGGAGUGUUUCUCCAAGAAGAGACCCAAAUAAGCACCUUGAUUCAGCUGUUACUAGAGACUCAGCAACCAGGCAACCAAACCCUUUGAAUUCCUCAGGGAACUGAUGGAGGAAAUGCGGUAAGAACGGAAUGUUGGAGCCCAGGGUUUCAGGCAGGAAGUACAUCACCAAAGGGAUGUACUAAAUAUCCCCACUAUAAUAUAAUGAUCCCAACCCCCACGGCAUUGUUACUCCUGGAUCUCUUUACCUGUUGAAACGUGAAUUCCUCUGGAUACCUGGCCUUUCCCUUAUAUCUAGACUACUGUCUACUGUGCAGUUGUUUUUCUAAAAAAAAAGACUAGCCACAUCUUUCUUUUCUGUCUUCCUUAGACAUUCUACCCUGGGACCUCUUUACAAUAAACCCACAACAUUGAAAUUAUUUAUUAAAGGAAAGUUUAGAGUUGAAAUUAUUCCUAUAUGUGCUCUUUCUCCAAAGACCCAAGAGCUUGUUUUCUGUGAAAUUCUUAUGAAUAAUAGCAAAACAGUCUGCUUAUGAUUAGAGUUUAUAAUGCUUUUUAAAGGGUUCCCAAGUGCUUCUGUUAGGAAGGCUUCUCUACUCAAAUGGCAUGUGCCUCCAUUCCUCCUUAAUGCUAUGUAGACUUUGCAUUCUGAGGACUGCUCUGUCAAUAAUGUCCUGCUCAGAAUGACUGAGACUUUUUUUCUGGCAAGGCAAUGGUCCAUGGACCUUGGGACCAGCAUUAAAACUUCAACUGCAUAUUCUCCUUAUGUUUUCUUCUUAAACAUUUAUAAUAAUUAAUUUUAAGUCAUAUUACAAAGGAAUGGCUUCCCCCACAGCCCACAGUCAGCAUUUUCUUAAAUGGAGAGCAAUGUGAAGCAGUCCCUCUAAAAACAUAAGUCAGGGCUGUCCACUGUCCCCACUCCUUUUCCAUAUAGUGCCUGAAACAGUAACUGCAGACAAAGUUACUUCAUUUUAAUCAAGGGAUCAAUCAAUUAAUAAAAUACUAUAAUACUAUGCAAAAUAUGCACAAAACUCUGGUGCAGCCAAUUUCAUUAAAUCAUAUUAAUGGAAUUAAAACUCCAGAUUAACACAAACUUCAUAAUAGGAAGCAAUUUCAGCACUCCAGUUUCUGCUAUAGAUGGGACAUCUGGACCAAAAAUAAAGAAAGAAACAGAUACUUCAGAACUCAAUGACCCCUUUUAUCAAAUGGACCUAAGAGAUAUCUACAGAAUAUUCAAACCAAACACCAAGAAUACACAAAUAUACAUGCUACUCCGCAUCACAAUGCACAUUUUCUACAGUGGAGCACUUGCUGUAACACAAAACUUAGUAAUUGCAGAAAAAUUGAAAUAAUUCCACAUAUCCUGCCCAGCCAUUGUGCAAUAUCCUUAAGAUGAAUAGUAAACAAAACCCUACUAAGUAUAUACACUCAUGGAAAUUAACAGUUCAUGACUGAAUGAUAAAGGGGUCAAACAAGAAAAUUAAGUAUUCUUGGAACUAAGUAAACCAGAAUCACAACACGACAAACCAUUUGGGAAACAGUAAAAGCACUUUUAAGAGGAAAGUUUAUAGCCCUAAGUGUCUACAUUUAACAAAAAAAAGAGUGCAAUCAAAUGACUUAUUAUGCAACACAAGAAUUUGGAAAAAAAAACCAAAGUCAAACUCAGUACAUAUUAAGAGGUAAUCAAUUUUUAGAAAUAAGGUGAAAGGUUUGGAGAGAUGGUUCAGUGGUGAAGAGCACUGUCUCCUCUUCCAGAGGUCCUGAGUUCAAGUCCCACCAACCACAUGGAGGCUCACAACCAUCUAUAAUGGGAUCUGAUACCCUCUUUUUGUGUGUCUGAAGACAGAGCCCUCAUGAAUAUAAAAUAUAUAAUGUUUUAACAAAUCAGGCGACAAAGGAAGUCAACUAUCCAGGCCUAGUGAGUUCAUGAGAAGAACCUAUAUUACAAGUUUAUUAAGUCAGCACAAAACCCAACUAUAUUUUUCCUUAUUUAUUCACUUUACAUCCAAAUUCUGCCCCUUGUCCUCCCAGUCCUCUCCCUCACACAGUUCUUCCUCCCAACCCCCUCUCCUUCGCCUUUGAGAGGGUGGAGCCCCCUCAGUAUCCCCAAAUGCUUACACAUCAAAUCUCUGCAUAGCUAGGUACAUGCUGUCUCACUGAGGCCAGACAAGUCAGCCCUGUUGUGGAACAGUUUCACAGACAGGCAGUAGAUUGAGGGAAAGCCCCUCCUCCAGUUGUUGGGGGAUCAGCAUGAAGACCAAGCUGCAUAUCUGCUACAUAUGAGCACAGAGGCCUAGGCACAGUCUGUGUGUGUUCUUUGGUUGAUAGUACAGUUUCCGGGAACUGCCAAAGGUUAGUUGAAUCUAUUGCUCUUAUUGUGAAGUUCCUAUCCCCUUCAGGGACUUCAAUCCUUCCGUACCUCUUCCAUAAGAGUCCCUGACUUCCAUUUGGUGUUUGGCCAUAGAUUUCUGCAUCUGUUUCAGUCAGCUUCUGGAUACAGACUCUCAGAGGACACUAAUGCUAUGCUCCUCUCUGCAAGCAAAACAGAGUAUCAUUAAUAGUUUCAAGGAUUGGUGCUUGUCUAUUUGAUGAGUCUCGUUGGGCUUGUUAUUGCUUGGACAUUCCUUCAGUCUCUGCUCCAUAUUUUGUCCCUUUCUUUUUGUAGACAGGAAAAAUUUGGGGUUAAAAGUUUUGAGGGUAGAUCAGUGUCCUUAUCACUCCACCAAGGGUCCUGUCUGUCUAAAGGAGAUGACCACCUCAGGUUCCAUAUUUCCACUGCUAGGAGUCUCAACUAAAAUUGGCCCAAUAGAGGCUCCUGGGUGCCUCCCCAAUCCUGGGUCUCUGGCUGGUCGUAGAGAUGCCCCCAUCAGAAUGAUACUUUUAAUUAUUUAUUUGCAUCCCAAAUGUUGCCCUCCUCCCAGUAAACUCCCCUUUCCCCCACCCUAGGCAUCCCCCAAUCCUGGCGCAUCAUGUCUCUACAGGAUCAGGUAUGACCUUUCUCACUGAGACCAGACAAGGCAGUCCUAUGUUUGAGAUAGAUAGAUAGAUAGAUAGAUAGAUAGAUAGAUAGAUAGAUAGAUAGAUAGAUAGAUAGAUAGAUAGAUAGAUCAGGGGCCUUGAACCAGCCUGUGUAUGCUCUUUGGUUGGUAGCUUGGUCUUGGGGAGCUCUGAGGGAUUCAGGUUAAUUGACACUGUUAGUAUUUCUAUGGGGUUCCAAUCCCCUACAUGUCCUUUACUCCUUUCCCUGACUCUUCCAUUGGGGUCCCCAAGCUAAGUCCAAUGGUUGGCUGUAAGUAUCUGCAUCUGUCUCAGUCAGCUGCUGGUAGAGCCUCUCACAGGAUAGCCAUGCCAGGCUCCUGUCUGCAAGCAUAACAUGGCAUCAGUAAUAAUGUCAGGGAUUGGUGCCCACCAUAAGAUGGAGCCCAAGUUGGGCUGGUCACUGAACAAGCUUUCCUUCAUAUUCUGGUCUACUUUUGUUCCUGCAUUUCUUUUAGAUGGGUCCAAUUCUGGAUCAAAACUUUUGAAAGUGGGUUGGUGACCCUACCCCUCCACUGCAGACCAUGUCUAUCUACUGGAGGUAGUAGCUUUAGGUUAUAUCUCCCUAGUGUUGGGCAUUUCAGCUAAUUUCAUCACAAUUGAGUCCUGGGAGACUCACAUCCCAGGUCUCUUGGACUUUCUAGAGGUUCCCCCUAUUUCCACCCCAGCAGUAGCAUAUUUCCACUCUCCUGGCUUUCUGGCCCUGUCUCCCCCAAUACCUGAUCCUGCCCCCCGCUUUUUCCUCUCCCCUGCCCCUCUCCCACCUAGGUACCUCUUCUCCCUCUGCCUCCAGUGAUUAUCUUCUUCCUUCUUUUAAGUGAGAUUGAAGCAUCAUCACUUGGGCCUUCUUUCUUGUUAAACUUCUUACACUCUGUGUUUUAUCCUAGGGAUUCUGUACUUUUGGGCUAAUAUCCACUUAUUAGGAGAGAACCAGCUAGACAAAUGUAUUGUCUGACAUGCACAUAGUGGCAUGUACACACACAUAAGCACAUUAGAAAUGUAUGUAGUGGUAGUAGUAAUUAAUAACAAUAAAUGAUUUUAAGAUCCACUAGACCUUCGGCCCCUUCUCCAACGGUUUUUGGUACUUAUCAUCAUCCUACCUACUUCUGAUGGACUCUGUCCUUCCAUGUUUAUAUGGGUUCAAAGGACCCAACUCAAAUGGUCAGGCUUGCUCUGUACGAGUCAUUUUGGCUGAGCCCUCUCUCUCUGUGGCAAGGAAACCAUAUUCUGCAGUACAAUUUAAGUGUCUACAGUUUUUAAGCAGUUAUGGUAAGUGUCUAGUGACUAAUGCCACAACAUAAGAUUCUAUUUUUUCUCUUUUUUUCAAUUAAUUAAUUGUCUGACAUGCACAUAGUGGCAUGUACACACACAUAAGCACAUUAGAAAUGUAUGUAGUGGUAGUAGUAAUUAAUAACAAUAAAUGAUUUUAAGAUCCACUAGACCUUCGGCCCCUUCUCCAACUGUUUUUGGUACUUAUCAUCAUCCUACCUACUUCUGAUGGACUCUGUCCUUCCAUGUUUAUAUCCUUUUCAGUCAAGAUGCCUGAGUAGGUUAUACACAGCUCCCUUCUUCUUCUUCACCCAUGGCCAGGUGGACAGGAUUUCAUUUGGAGGAAUAUCUGGAAGGCAUAUCACAUAAAAUUCUACAACAAGAAUAAAGAAUGCAUAUUAUUAUAGAUAAUGAGUGAGUGGUAAACAUAUACCACAUUCAGUUUGAAUGCUCACUGUCCUGUGUUCCAUCCUAAUGCAGUCACAUGCCAUCCUAUGUACACACAUGCAGACACUUAUUUUUCCAUGUUUUACAGAAAUAACAGUUGGAAGAGGGAGGAGAGUCGUUCAGGUGUCUUCAGCAGUGAGCCUUGCUCUCAUUGGGAAAUGCAGUCUGUAGUCUUAGCAACCAACAGGGUUGUUUGGGAUUCCCAUGGCCAACAACACAAUUAGAUAUAACCCGGUUCUGGUACCAGAAGGUCCAUUUGGUGGUAAGAGAUGCCAGUUGGGACUCUUUCCUAUUAUAUGGCAAUUUCGCUUAGAUUUCCAUACAUACAUACAUAUAUGACUACCACUCAAAUGCCCCUUAAUGUUAGAUGCCUUUCCCAAUAUUGCAUCACACUAUCUUCUAUCCCCUUUCCCUCCCCACUUGAUCCUUCCAUUCUAGCUCUACAUAUCUAUCAGUAAUUAUUUAUUCUGUCUCCCUUUCCUAAUGAGAAGCAUCUGUCCCCUCUGGUCCCUUAUAGUACACCUACUAUAAUAUUGUUAAUACUACUAUAGUCUCUGGUUCUUAGGUAUCAUUAACUUCACAGCUAAUAUAUGCAUACAAGUGAAUAUAUACCAUAUUUUUCUUUCUGGAUCUGGAAUACAUCACUCAUGUAUUCCUAAGUUCUGUCCAUUUGACUGCAAAUUUUAUGAUAUCAUUUUUAAGAGCUGAGUAAUUCCCCAUUGUGUAAAUGUACCAUAUUUCCUUUAUCCAUUCUUCUGUUGAAGGACAUCUGAUUUGUUUCCAAGUUCUUGCUAUUAUGAAUACAGCAGCAUAUAACAUGGUUGUGUAAAUGUCCUUCUGAUAGGAUGGAGCAUCCUUUAGAUAUAUACUCAAGAGUAGUAUAGCUGGAUUUUGAGGUAGAUCAACACCCACAUUCCCGAGGAACUGUCACCCUGAUUUCCAUAGUCACUGCACAUGUUUGCACUGCCACUAGCAAUGGAUAAGUUUUCCUCUUCUUAUUCCAUGAACUGUCAUGUAUUUUGUUGAUCUUAGCCAUUCUGACAAGUGUAAGAUGGAACCUCAUGGUUUUGAUUUGCAUUUCCCUAAUGGCAAAGGAUGAUGAACAUUUCUUUAAGUGUUUCUCGGCUGUUUGUGUUUUUUCUACUGAGCAUUCUGUUUAGAUCUUUCCCCCGUUUUAAUUGGAUUAUUUGGUUUUCUCAUUUUGAAUUUUUGAGCACUUUAUAUAUUUUGGAUAUUGACCCUCUGUAUAUUCAGCGUUGGUGAAUAUCUUUUCCCAUUCUGUGGGCUGCCACGUUGUCUGAAUGAUUGUCUUUUGCCUGAUAGAAGCCUCUCAGUUUAUUAGGUCCCACUGACUGUUGAUCUUAGAGCCUGGAGUGUUCUGUUCAGAAAAUCGUCUCCUGUGACAAUAAGUUCAAGGGUUCCCCAACACUCUCUCUCUCUCUCUCUCUCUCUCUCUCUCUCUCUCUCUCUCUCUCUCUCACUCUCUCUCAUAUCUCAUAUCAGUGUAUCUGGCUUUCUGUUGAGGUCUUGUAUUGAAGCAUUUGGGCUUGAAUUUUCUACAGAGUGAUAGAUGUGGUAUACUUAGAUUCUUCUGCAUGCAGACAUCCAGUUUGCAAUUUGACAUCACCAUUCAAUGAAGAUGCUGUCAUCUUUCCAGUUUUUGAUUUUGGCCUCCUUACCAAAGAACAUGUGUCCAUGGGUGUGUGGCUUUGUGUCUAGGUCUUCAAUUAGAUUUCAUUAAUCAACCUGUCUGUUUUUAUGCCAAUAACAUGCUGUUUUAAUUACUCUACUUCCCUAGUACAUCUUGAAGUUGGGAAUAAUGAGACCUCCAGCAGUUCUUUUAUUCUUCAGGAUUGUUUUAACUAUCCUGUGGGUUUUGUGUUUCCAUAUGAACCUGAACAUUGUUCUUUUAAUGUCUAUAAAGAAUUGUGUUACAAUUUUGAUGGGUUCUGUAUUGAAUCUGUAGAUUGCUUUCAAAAGAAUGUUCAUUUUUACCAGUUAAUGAUGACGGGAUCGAUUUCCAUGUUCGAAUAAAGAAGACUUUAAUUUCUUUCCUCAAUGACUUGACGUUUUUAUCGUCCAAGUCUUUCACUUGCUUGGUUAGAGUUACCCAACAAUAUAUUUUUUGGUGUUAUUGCAAAGGGCGUUGUUUCUCUGAUUUCUUGCUCAGUCCAUUUGUCAUUUGUAUAUAGGAGGGCUACUGAUGUUUUUGGGUUAGUUUUGUAUUCAGAUACUUUGCUGAAAAUGUUUAUGUGCUGUAGAAGUUUCCUGGUAUAAUUUUUAGGGUCACUCAUAUAUACUAUUGUGUCAUCUGCAAAUGCAGAUACUUUGACAUCUUCCUUUCCAAUUUGUUUCCCCUUGAUCUCCUUCACUUGUCUUUUUAUUGAUGUAGCUAAGGCUUCAAGCUAUUGAACAGGUAAGGAGAGAGUGGACAACCUUGUCUUAUUCCUUAUUUUAGUGGAAUUCCUCUGAGUUUAAACUGCUUUUUUAUGUUGAGGUAUGCCCCUUGUAUCCCUAACCUCUCCAGGACUUUUAUAAAGUGGUGUUGGAUUUUGUCAGAGGUAUUUUCUGCAUCUAAUGUAGUGUUUAAUCUUUGAGGUGGCUCAUAUGGUGCAUUACAUUUAUCUAUUCAUGUAUGUUUGACCAUGCUUACAUCUCUGGGAUGAAGCCUGCCUGAUCAUGGUGCUUGAUCUUUGUGAUGUGUUCUUGGAUUUGAUUUGCAAGUAUCUUGUUGAAUAUUCUUGCCUGUAUGUUUUUAUAGGAGAAAUUAGUCUGUAAUCCUCUUUUGUUGUUAGUUUUUUAUGUGGUUUGUGUAUCAGAGUAAUUGUGGCCUUAUAAAAUGAAUUGGGCAGUGUUCUUUCUGUUUCUGUUUUGUGGAAUACUCUGAGGAGUAUUGGCAUUAACUCUUCAUUAAAAGUCUAGGGAAGGGCUGGAGAGAUGGCUCAGCAGUUAAGAGCACUUACUGCUCUUCCAAAGGUCCUGAGUUCAAUUCCCAGCAACCACAUGGUGGCUCACAAGCAUCUGCAAUGAGAUCUGAUGCCCUGUUCUGGUGUGUAUGAAGACAGCUACAGUGUCCUUACAUAUAAUAAAGAAAUAAAUCUAAAAAAAAAGUCUGGAGAAAUGGCUCUGUAGUAGCUGCUUUUUCAGAGGACCAGGCUCAAUUCCCAACACCUACAUGAUGGCCCACAACCAUAUCUAACUCCAAAUCUGGUGGAUAUACUGCUGACUUCUGAAUGCAUCAGGCACACUGGCAUUUCACAGAUAUUCAUACAGGUAGAAUACUCGCAUAAAUAAGAUAAUAAAGUUAAUUUUAAAAACGAGUCUGGUGGCACUCUGUGCCAAAAUCAUCUGGCCCUGGAAUUUUGGGGAGUGGUGGGAUAUUUUAAUGACUCCUUCUAUUUCAGUUGGAGUUACACAUCUAUCUAGUUUGCUUAUCUUGAUUUAACUUUGGUACGUGGGAUGCACAGAGAAAAUUAUCAAUUUCUUUUGGAUUUUCCAAUUAGGUGAAAUACAGAUUUUAAACUAUGUCUUGAUUUUUCUGUGGAUUUCCUUGGUUCUGUUGUCAAAUCUCUCUUUAAUUUCUAAUUUUUUUAUUUGAACAUUCUCUCCUCAUCUUUUAAUUAAUUUUGUAUAAGGGUUUUUCUAUCUAUAACUUUCCAAAGAAUUUUGUUUCAUGGAUUCUUUGUGUUGCCUUGUUUUGUUCUAUCUUAUCUAUUUCUGCCCUGAAUUUGACUAUUUCUUUCCAUCUACUUCUUUGCAGUGUGAUCUCCUCUUUUUGUUCUAGAGUUUUCAAUUGUGUGUUUUUUAUAUACGGACUAAUGCUAUAAAUAACACCUUUAAAACUGGCUUCAAUGCAUUCCAUAAGUUUGUGUAUGUUGUAUAAUCGUUUUCAAUCAGUUCUGCAAAGUCUUUAAUUUCUUGAUUUCUCUUUUGAAUCAUAUAGUGGUUUGAAUGACAAUGCCCCCAGCCCCACAGACCUAUAGAUUUGAAUACUGAUUACAAGGGAGUGGCACUAUAUGAGAGAGAUUAGGAAGUGUGGCCUUAUUGAAGAAAUUAUGCCACUGGAAGUAGGAUUUGAUGGUUCAAAUGCCCACACCAGACCCAGUGUCUUGCUUUCUCUCCUCACCCCCUCUCGCUCCUGCUGCUCCCUGGGGAUCAUGAUGUAACACUCUCAGCUAAUUCUAUACCAAUGUGUCUGUCGGAUCACCACAGUGUUGGUAAUGGGCUGAUACUCUGAAUUAGCCCCUAAUUAAAUGUUGACUUUUAUAAGUGUUGUCUUAGUUAUGGUGUUUCUUCAUAGUAAUACAACAAUAACUAAGACAAAGACACCAAAAUUUUUGCCUCUGAGUAAAGUUGAAUUAAUUAUGAAAAAAUCUUUAAAAAAUAAGAAAAAGCUUGAAUUUUGUGCUGGAUAUACCAGUUUGGAUAACCUGGAGUCUAGCUCUCCUUCCCAGCCAAGACUGUUCCUGGAGAACAUCCAUGUACACCCUGCCCCCUGCUGGACAAAUUCUUAUCUGCAGGCUCCUCACAAACAGCACAGAAAGGCUAGGACAAUGCAGAGAACAAGGUAAGGGACUCAUCUCUGUUCUUUAGAGGCUGAAAGAAACAGGCUGACUCUCCAGAGGUGCCCCUGAGACAAAAUAUACCCAGCUAUUUGGAAUCACUUGGCACCUGCACUUUAGCCUCCAGAGACACCACCACACGUGCAUCUCAGUCGUCAGAAUCAUCACCAUCUUCUGAAACAGUCAAACUGUUCCUGGAGGAUAGAGAAUCCAAGGAUCACCCAAAACAGUGCAUUCACCUGGACAUGCCACCACGGUGCAUUCACCUGGACAUGCCACCAUGGUGUGUUCAUCUGCACUCACUACCAUUGUGCGGUCAUCACCACAGGCCCUAUGGUACGCUCAUCUGCACAUGACACUAAGGUGCAUGCAGUGCUGUGUCCUUCUUUCUGUUCAUGCUUUACUUACUGUGCACGCAGUGUACCACCAACUUCUGUGUGCAGCCAUGUAUUUCAUAUUCCAGCCUCUCCCAGAGCCUGUGGCUUCUUCCAGCGCUUUUCUUCACCUAAUCUUUGUUCCUCACUCUUAAUUACAUCUCUCCUGCUUGCGCAAAUGACAGUGUAAUAACAAUAUAAAGGCAAAUAUUGUAACUCUGGAAACUAGGUUUACUUACGACAUUUUUUCCCAUUUAAACACCCGUGUACUUUUUUUUAUUUAGUUACAAAAAGUGAAAUAAUUUGUCAAGUGUGAUUAAUAUGUUAUGAAAAAUCCUUUAAAAACACCUGCAAAAGAUCAAUCCCUUUAACAUUCUGCCAUGGAAGGAGGGGCUCACAAGCUUCUGCCCCUCUCAGAGGAUAUGAUGGCAGUUGCCAGGUGCUAGGGGAAAAGGCCAAUGACACCCAAUGCACACAUAAGUAAGCCUAACUAAGCUCACUGGGUCUCACCGAUACCAAGCAAGAGGCAAUAAAAGGGAAUCUAGGGGUAGGGAGGAAGGGCAUCGGAGUGACUCAUGAGAGCCAUUAGGCGCACACAUGAUCAAAUUACAUUAUAUAUGCAUAUAAAAUAUAAUAAUGAAGUGAAACAACAUAUAUAACUAAUAUAUGCUAAUAGAAUCUUUAGAAAAAUACAUGAGAAGACACUUAACCUCUAAUACAAUACAAAUAUACUACUGACUACCUGAAUAAGUGCUUCAGUGUUUAAAAACUGCUGAAGAAGGUAGCAGGGGGAGGAAUAACCCAACAUGUGUUUCAGGAGCAGUAGACUCAGAGACACCACACACCCAAGAGAAAGCAAAUGCUUUGGGGACAGACAAUAGGAUGGCAUUGGAUGAGAGGAAAGUAGAGGGGAAACAAUACUCAAGUUUCCCUGGAAUGUUUGAGGUGUUUGGCCUUUCUGGGUGAGGUCCAGAAAGGUGGUGGUCCCCCCAGCACCAGUUCAGAUGUUAGAACAGGUCUCUAUAAUCAUAAUUUGACUUGUCCUUCUGAAAUUCAUGUGACACUGGACAAGUUUUCUACAUGCUCUGAAACUAACCCUGAAAUCUAUACAAUAUGGAUGGUCAUUGGGUCCUCCUCCUAUUAGAGGAUAAAAUAGGAAAUCUAUUUCAGGGGAUGGGGAUGCUAAUGGGGACAAGACAGUACUGGACAAUAUAACCCAAGCUGGCCUUUGGUCUAUAUUCCUGUAUGGCUGAUAUCUCAAUUUCUGUGAGCCAGCAGUAAGGCCCACGGGCUCAUGGGAGGGCCAAGCCCUGUUCUUUUCUGAUGAGAAAAGGCCUAGCACUCAUGCACUAACCUCUCCACAUUUUAGAAACUGAUGGCAUUCAGGUCAAUGUUUGGAGCCACCGGCUGCGAGAGAGGAAGUAUCGAGUGAUAUAUUCAGAGAUUAGUGAUCCUGAAGAGGAAGAAGAUGAUGAUUACUGAACUGACAGUGGAAAUAAGUCCAAGUUGGAAGAAGGAUGGAGUGGCGAUUCAACAUCACAUCUCCAGUUUGAAAGACUAAAUAUCAGCAGUAUAGAUACAUACAUUUAUUUAUAUAUUUAUUUAUUAUAUACAUUUGUACCUAUAUUUAUUUAUUUAUAAAAGUCUACUAGAAGUCUGAGUUAAGCAUGUGUCAUGUGUUUGUUCUCUUAGCAAUUUUGUAGGAUAUGCCAAACACUGUUAGGAGUCUUUUUCCGUCGUGCCAAACAUGUCUUACUGUGUGACAGCCACUCUGGCAGAAUACCAAUGUUGCAAGCAGGCUAAAUGGCUCAGUGAUAAAGGAUCCUGCUGUCAGACUUGAGUUUAAUCUUAAGGACCUACAUGGUGGACACAGAGAAAUGACUCCCUCUCAGUGUCCUUUGCUAUUCACAACUGAACGCAUUUGUGUGUGCACACACAUACACACAUAUCUAUGCAUACAAGCACAAAAUAACUCAUAAAACAAGUGGAAAUAUAAUAAGCCUAUCAACAUUCCAUUUAGCAAGGCAUAUACCUAAUGCAUAUUGCUGGUUUUGUGCCCUCUACUUUUAUGAGGAAUUGUGUGUCAGCUAUCAUUGCACUGAAGCACACUGCCCUCCCCUUGCCUAGGACUGAAAAGCAGCUAUUUGUCUAUGUCAACAUGUUUCUCUGUCUCUCACACACAUAUACAAGUCAUCACUAGGGACACCUGUUACCUGCCAUGCUACACUAGAAAUGUGUCUACUUCCAACUAUCUAGUUUUAUUGUUUGGCUAGGAUACACUUUCUUCCCUGUUUGCACAAAGGUGACAAAUCCAAAUUCUGUGAUGUGGUAGAAUCUGGCUUUGCUUGACAACACAUAGUAUCUUCAUCUACCAAAGAACCUGAGGUUCAGUGUAGAGAGAGGCUCAUGCCUAUGAAGAUCAAAAGUUAUUUUUUUAACCCUCUAAUUUUAGCUUUGUGGGAAUAAAUGUAAUGUCUGAUUCUAGGGAAUGAACCCAGGUCCUCUGCAUUGCAAGGCAAGGGCUCAGCAUUGAGCUGCACUGGACUAGCUGUAUUGCUUCAUUGUUGACAGAAUCCUGAAAGAAAGUUAACGCAGAAAGUUUACUAUGGGCUUACACUUUCAGUGGGCUCAGUUGAUAGAUGAAUUUUCCAUACAUGCAGCAUAUGAAGGGACGAUGUUUUUCCCUUCAUCUUGGAUUAGGGUGGCCCACAAGGAAUAUAGGAAGGGCCCAAGGCAAGAAACAGACUCAAGUACAUGAUUCUAAUGAGCUAAUUCCUCAAGCAUCCUUGUCUCCCACAUAACUACCAUGAUCAUGUGACAUUGCCAACAGAUUUGCUUGGGAAUUAGAUGAGAGAUCUCACAACAUAAUUACUUUCAGAAAUGUUCUCAUACAAGGGGAAAAGUGGAGCUUUUCCUACUAUGUCCCAGACUUCACUGAAUCACUCAGACUAUCAAAACUAACACACAUAUUCAGUUGUUUGUGUCAUUUCCAGAUGAGGUUUCACUAAAUCACCUAGGCUGGCAUCAAAUUUGCAGUUGUCCUCUGUCAAAUUCCAAGUCAUCAGGAUCAGAGCUUCUCCUGGGCUAUAAUCAAUAUCUUUCACUUUAUUUUUGUUCACUGAUAUAGGUUCCAUUAUGCAUCCCAGGCUAUACUGGAACUCACUUUAUAGCCCAAUUGUGGUAUUUGUGCCCCACGCACUCUCUGGAGUAUUGGGCUUACAAGAGUAGACUACUGCACAUAGUGUGUGAAUACAUUUAUAAGUGAGUUUAACAUUGACCUAGAUCCCUAGAACAAGAUUUAGGGAGCAACAAGGUAAGGAAGACAGUAGGGUCAUCACAAAGAAAGUGUUGUGAGCAGGACUCACCAAACUCACAAUAAAGAAUACUCCUCGGGGGCUGGUGAGAUGGCUUAGUGGUUAAAGUGCUGACUGCUC